RNAcentral lists this ribosomal RNA (253 nucleotides) under uncultured archaeon. RNAcentral describes it as "partial 16S ribosomal RNA". It matches the Rfam family "Archaeal small subunit ribosomal RNA", at positions 474 to 727 of the family's 1478-position model. The record is from RNAcentral.
AACCAGCACCUCAAGUGGUCAGGAUGAUUAUUGGGCCUAAAGCAUCCGUAGCCGGCUCUGUAAGUUUUCGGUUAAAUCUGUACGCUCAACGUACAGGCUGCCGGGAAUACUGCAGAGCUAGGGAGUGGGAGAGGUGGACGGUACUCGGUAGGAAGGGGUAAAAUCCUUUGAUCUAUCGAUGACCACCUGUGGCGAAGGCAGCAUUCUGGCACAAUAUUGACGCUGAGGGACGAAAGCGUGGGGAGCGAACAGG